This 484-nucleotide ribosomal RNA is filed under the name uncultured bacterium. Its description in RNAcentral is "partial 16S ribosomal RNA". It matches the Rfam family "Bacterial small subunit ribosomal RNA", at positions 28 to 507 of the family's 1533-position model. The record is from RNAcentral.
AUUGAACGCUGGCGGCAUGCUUUACACAUGCAAGUCGAACGGCAGCGCGGGCUUCGGCCUGGCGGCGAGUGGCGAACGGGUGAGUAAUGCAUCGGAACGUGCCCAGUAGUGGGGGAUAGCCCGGCGAAAGCCGGAUUAAUACCGCAUACGACCUGAGGGUGAAAGCGGGGGACCGAAAGGCCUCGCGCUAUUGGAGCGGCCGAUGUCGGAUUAGCUAGUUGGUGGGGUAAAGGCUUACCAAGGCGACGAUCCGUAGCUGGUCUGAGAGGACGACCAGCCACACUGGGACUGAGACACGGCCCAGACUCCUACGGGAGGCAGCAGUGGGGAAUUUUGGACAAUGGUGGCAACCCUGAUCCAGCCAUGCCGCGUGCGGGAAGGAGGCCUUCGGGUUGUAAACCGCUUUUGUUGGGGAAGAAAUCCUCUGGGCUAAUACCCCGGGGGGAUGACGGUACCGGAAGAAUAAGCACCGGCUAACUACGUG